RNAcentral lists this ribosomal RNA (2965 nucleotides) under Dehalococcoidia bacterium. RNAcentral describes it as "partial 23S ribosomal RNA". It matches the Rfam family "Bacterial large subunit ribosomal RNA". The record is from RNAcentral. Lineage: Bacteria; Bacillati; Chloroflexota; Dehalococcoidia.
CCUUGGCAUCAGAAAGCGAUGAAGGACGUGGCAAGCUGCGAUAAGCUUCGGGGAGUGGCACACACACUGCGAUCCGGAGAUUUCCGAAUGGGGAAACCCGCCGGUUGAGCCGGCAGUUCAAGGUGAAUACAUAGACCUUGUAAUGGCAAACGAAGGGAAGUGAAACAUCUCAGUACCUUCAGGAACAGAAAUCAAAUAGAGAUUCCCUGAGUAGUGGCGAGCGAAAAGGGAAGAGCCUAAACCUUUUGUAUGUUAAAGGGUCCGGCCCUUGUACAGAAGGUGUCAUGGGACUUUAAAGAAGCGACCGGACUCGCUUCACGAAGUUACAAAGUCAAAAUUUAGCAGAAGAGUCUGAAAAGUCUCUCCAAAGAAGGUGAUAGACCUGUAAGCGAAAAGUUUUGACCUUCGAUAAAGUUUCCCAAGUACCACCGGGCACGUGGAAUCCGCUGGGAAUUUAGGGGGACCACCCUCUAAGGCUAAAUAUGUUCUGAUGACCGAUAGUGAACCAGUACCGUGAGGGAAAGGUGAAAAGAACCCCGGAAGGGGAGUGAAAUAGAACCUGAAACCGUGAACUUACAAACAGUGGGAGCGCUAUUGCAUGACAAGCGUGACCACGUACCUUUUGCAUAAUGAGCCAGUGAGUUAUGGUCACGAGCAAGGUUAAGCUGUGAAGCGAAGCCGUAGCGAAAGCGAGUCUUAAAUGGGCGUUUUUUUAGUUCGUGGCUAUAGACCCGAAACCCGGUGAGCUAUUUAUGGCCAGGGUGAAGUGCAGUUAACCCUGCAUGGAGGCCCGAACCAUUGGAAGAUGCAAUUUCCUUGGAUGAGCUGUGAAUAGGAGUGAAAGGCUAAUCAAACUGGGUGAUAGCUGGUUCUCCCCGAAAUAUAUUUAGGUAUAGCCUCGAAUAUCUAUCCUGGAGGUAGAGCACUGAAUGGGCUAGGGGUCCUUACCGGAUUACCAAACCCAAACAAACUCCGAAUGCCGGUGAUAGUGAGUUCGGGAGACAGUCAUGGGGUGAUAAGGUCCUGUGACGAGAGGGAAAGAGCCCGGACCCUCGGCUAAGGUCCCUAAAUCCAUUGCUUAGUGUUAAACGUUGUGGAAUUACUCAGACAGCCAGGAGGUUGGCUUAGAAGCAGCAAUCCUUUAAAGAAAGCGUAAUAGCUCACUGGUUCAGUGAUUUUGCGCGGAAGAUUUAACGGGGCUUAAGCAUGGUACCGAAGCCAGGGACUGUUGUUCGCAACAGUGGUAGGGGAGCGUUGUCGUUAAGGAUGAAGCUUGACCGCGAGGACAGGUGGACAGACGACAAGUGAUUCUGCUGGCAUAAGUAGCGUAUUAACAGAGGUGAGAAACCUCUGCGCCGAAAACUCAAGGGUUCCUGGGCCAGGAUCAUCCUCCCAGGGUUAGUCGGGACCUAAGGCGAGGCCAAGUGGCGUAGUCGAUGGACAAAGGGUUAAUAUUCCCUUACCGGCUUUGAUGUUCAAGCAUAGGAGUGACGGACUCAGUUAUCCCGGCCUGUUAUUGGAUUCAGGUGUAAGCGUGCAAGAGGGGGUGUAGGUAAAUCCGCAUCUCAACUCUCAGGCGUAAAUGCGAGAGGAUCUGAUCCUCGAAGCGGGAGACACUAUGGUUCCCAGAAAAACUUCGAUGUAUUGUCAAAGUUGCCCGUACCGUAAACCGACUCAGGUGAGUAGGAUGAGUAUUCUAAGGCGAUUGGGUUAACUCCAGUUAAGGAACUCGCCAAAUUGGCACCGUAACUUCGGGAGAAGGUGUGCCCUCUCAGGUGAAACCCCUUGCGGGUGGAGCUAGGGGGAGGGUCGCAGUGACCAGGGAGUAGCGACUGUUUACCAAAAACACAGGGCUAUGCUAAAUCACAAGAUGAUGUAUAUAGCCUGACGCCUGCCCGGUGCCGGAAGGUUAAGAGGAUUUGUCAGCCGCAAGGCGAAGCGGAAAAUCGAAGCCCCGGUAAACGGCGGCCGUAACUAUAACGGUCCUAAGGUAGCGAAACUCCUUGUCGGGUAAGUUCCGACCUGCAUGAAUGGCGUAACGACUUCUUCAGUGUCUCAACUGGACCCCCAGUGAAAUUGAACUCUCAGUGAAAAUGCUGAGUACCCGCGGAAAGACGAGAAGACCCUGUGAACCUUUACUCUAGCUUGGCAAUGACUUUAGAGUGGUUAUGUGUAGGAUAGGUGGGAGGCUUUGAAGCUUGGACGCUAGCCCAGGUGGAGCCAACCUUGAAAUACCACCCUUAGUUAUUUUGAAGUCUAACCUGCACCCCUGAACCGGGGUGAGGGACAUUGUCAGGUGGGGAGUUUGACUGGGGCGGUCGCCUCCUAAAAGGUAACGGAGGCGUACGAAGGUUCCCUCAGCCUGAUUGGAAACCAGGCGCUGAGAACAUUGGCAUAAGGGAGCUUGACUGCGAGACUUACAGGUCGAGCAGGUGCGAAAGCAGGUCAAAGUGAUCCGGUGGUUCCGAGUGGAAGGGCCAUCGCUUAACGGAUAAAAGGUACUCCGGGGAUAACAGGCUGAUACCCCCCAAGAGUUCACAUCGACGGGGGUGUUUGGCACCUCGAUGUCGGCUCAUCUCAUCCUGGGGCUGGAGCAGGUCCCAAGGGUUUGGCUGUUCGCCAAUUAAAGAGGUACGCGAGCUGGGUUCAGAACGUCGUGAGACAGUUUGGUCGUUAUCUUCCGUGGGCGUAGGAAAAUUGAGAGGAGCUGUCCUUAGUACGAGAGGACCGGGAUGGACGAAUCUCUGGUGCACCUGUUGUCACGCCAGUGGCAUAGCAGGGUAGCUAUAUUCGGAACGGAUAACCGCUGAAAGCAUCUAAGCGGGAAGCCGACCUCAAGAUAAGUUUUCCCUGAUCCGUAAGGAUCCUGAAGACCCCUUCGAGACCAGGAGGUUGAUAGGCGGUAAGUAUAAGCACAGCAAUGUGUUCAGCUGAUCCGUACUAAUAGGUCGUGAGGCUUUUUUAA